RNAcentral lists this ribosomal RNA (725 nucleotides) under uncultured Lachnospiraceae bacterium. RNAcentral's name for it is "bacterial SSU rRNA". It matches the Rfam family "Bacterial small subunit ribosomal RNA", at positions 28 to 751 of the family's 1533-position model. Lineage: Bacteria; Bacillati; Bacillota; Clostridia; Lachnospirales; Lachnospiraceae. The record is from RNAcentral.
GAUGAACGCUGGCGGCGUGCUUAACACAUGCAAGUCGAGCGAAGCGCCUUAUUUGAUUUUCUUCGGAACUGAAGAUUUGGUGACUGAGUGGCGGACGGGUGAGUAACGCGUGGGUAACCUGCCCUGUACAGGGGGAUAACAAUCAGAAAUGACUGCUAAUACCGCAUAAGACCACAGCACCGCAUGGUGCAGGGGUAAAAACUCCGGUGGUACAGGAUGGACCCGCGUCUGAUUAGCUGGUUGGUGAGGUAACGGCUCACCAAGGCGACGAUCAGUAGCCGGCUUGAGAGAGUGAACGGCCACAUUGGGACUGAGACACGGCCCAAACUCCUACGGGAGGCAGCAGUGGGGAAUAUUGCACAAUGGGGGGAACCCUGAUGCAGCGACGCCGCGUGAGUGAAGAAGUAUCUCGGUAUGUAAAGCUCUAUCAGCAGGGAAGAAAAUGACGGUACCUGACUAAGAAGCCCCGGCUAACUACGUGCCAGCAGCCGCGGUAAUACGUAGGGGGCAAGCGUUAUCCGGAAUUACUGGGUGUAAAGGGUGCGUAGGUGGUAUGGCAAGUCAGAAGUGAAAACCCAGGGCUUAACUCUGGGACUGCUUUUGAAACUGUCAGACUGGAGUGCAGGAGAGGUAAGCGGAAUUCCUAGUGUAGCGGUGAAAUGCGUAGAUAUUAGGAGGAGCAUCAGUGGCGAAGGCGGCUUACUGGACUGAAACUGACACUGAGG